GACGUAGGGGGCCAGCGUUGUUCGGAAUUACUGGGUGUAAAGGGUUCGUAGGCGGUGUAGCAAGUCGGGAGUGAAAUCUCUGGGCUUAACCCAGAGGCUGCUUCCGAAACUGCUGUGCUUGAGUGUGGGAGAGGCGCGUGGAAUUGCAGGUGUAGCGGUGAAAUGCGUAGAUAUCUGCAGGAACACCCGUGGCGAAAGCGGCGCGCUGGACCACUACUGACGCUGAGGAACGAAAGCUAGGGGAGCGAACAGG
RNAcentral lists this ribosomal RNA (253 nucleotides) under uncultured bacterium. RNAcentral's name for it is "partial 16S ribosomal RNA". It matches the Rfam family "Bacterial small subunit ribosomal RNA", at positions 524 to 776 of the family's 1533-position model. The record is from RNAcentral.